UUUUUUUUUUUUUUUUUUUAAUAUGGAGAUCUGAUCGGUUCAGGCACCCUGCGGAAACACAUUCAAUGCUUUCCCACCGACCUUAGGUUAAAGACCCAAGUCCUUAACCUGGCCUCUAAACCCUGUGAGGUGUGGCCCAGCGGUUCUUCCCGCCUCACCGCGGAUGCUCACCGCUAGAGCUCCACUUCCGCUGCGUGGCGCUCCCUGCCCUCCGCCCCUCGCCCCCUGCCCUCCGCCCCUCGCCCCCUGCUCCCCGCCCCCCGCCAGCGCUUGAGCCUUCGUGCAGGCUGGGCUCUGGGCCUGAAAGGCUACUUCUCUUCAUCAGAUCUCAGCUCCUUCAUCAGGGAAGGUACCUAGACCUUCCUUUCGGGUCAGAUCUCCUCUUUUGAGUUCCCACACCAAGAUGUGCUCUUCCUCAGGGGCACUGGGUGCGGCCACAGGUCUGAGUUUCUUGGGAAUUAUUAUUACUAUUAUUAUUAUUAUUGUCUUUUGUCCUUUUAGGGCCGCACCGGUGGCAUAUGGAGGUUCCCAGGCUAGGGGUCUAAUGAGAGCUGUUGCUGCCCAGCCUACACCACAGCCACAGCAACCCCAGAUUCAAGCCACCUCUGGGACCUACACCACAGCUCAAGGCAACCCCAGAUCCUGAACCCACUGAGUGAGGUCAGAGAUGGAACCUGCAACCUCGCGGUUCCUAGUCAGAUUCGUUUCCGCUGUGCCACGAGGGGAACUCCUGUUAGGGAUUAUUCGAUUGAUGUCUGGAUCCCCAUAGAAAGUAAGCUCCCUGAGGGCAGGAACCAUGACUGCGGAUGCUCACUCCUGCCAUUCCCUGGACGGAGAAUUGAACACUCCAUGAAUAUGGAGUUCAAAUGUUGGUUGAAUGAUGCAUGUGCCAGGAUCUGGGGGAAGGGAAGACACAUUUCCGGACCUCAGGAUUCAGGUCAUGAUUCUCCCUCCAGCAGCUGAAGCCCUGAAGUCCGACCUGUCAUUUUCUCAACACCAUUUGUUCUUCCGUAUUACCUGGCCUCUGCCAUCUCCACAGUUGUGCCUUCAUCACAGCCUCCUCCAUCUUGCCUAAGUAUGAGACCCCUUCCCUCUCUGAGUCUCUAAGGGCCCUUCCUGGUUUUGCCUCAUUGGCUUCAGAAGGCAGCAUGAAUAAUGUGGCCACAGUACAGAAUGCAGAACCAGAAUAUCUGGGUUCAAUAACUAGGUAAAAGGCCACUGUGGCCUUCAACUGGCUAUGAAACCACUCUGAUCCCUAGCCUUCUUAAUGAUAAAAUGAGAACAACUUCAGAAUCAAGCAAGAUAGAGGCAUUAGAAAAUCUGAACGCACCAUCACCUAGAAAUACUGUAUAAAAUAUGAAAAACGUAAACAUAUGACUAAGUUCUCAAAAGUAAAACCCCAGGUACUAGAAACAAAGAGGAAACCGAAAGCUGGAGGAUGCACUGGCUGUGGCUGUGGUUACUAGGAGGGAACUGGGAAGGAACAAGUUCUGUUACCUAAGGGCUGUUUUACCAGCCUCCAGGGACAGAAGAGAUCUUAGUCCUGAAGAAAGGGGGAACUUAGAUGAAAGGCAACCAAAGCUGACUCAAAAAGAAAUAGAAAACCCGACAGAUCUGUAAAUUCUAAUCAAUUGAAUGACACACCCACACACUACCCAAAUGAUUUUAUAGUUUGUGUUAUUCUGCCAGCUCUUGCAGGAAUUAUUUAUUUAUAUAAGCUAUCCUGGACAAUGGAAAAAGAGGACCAAUCACACUUGUAAGGCUAAAUAUCUUAAAUGAAAUAUUAGCAAAGUGAAUCCAGUGGAUUUUGUGCAAAUGUGUGUAUGUAUACAUGCAUGUAUGUGUGACCAUGCAGGGUUUUUUCCAGGAAUGCAAGGAUGGUCUGCUUAAAAAAAAAUCUAUUAAUGAUAUUUACAACUUUGCCAUAUUAAAAGGAAAAAAUAUGGUUGUUGUAAAAGGUACAGAGAAUGCACUGGAUAAAGUUUAACACUAAUGAUUUGAAAAACAUCUAGCUAACUAGGAAUAGAAAAUAACCUCCAGGGUGUUCCCAUUGUGGCUCAGUGGUAAUGAACCAGUCUAGUAUCCGUGAAGAUGCAGGUUUGAUCCCUGUCCUUGCUCAAUGGGUUAACGAGCCUGCAUUGUUGUGGCUGUGGUAUAGGCCAGCAGCUGCAUCUCCAAUUCCACCCCUAGCCUGGGAAUCACCAUAUGCCACAGAUGUGGCCCCCAAAAGCAAAACAAACAAACUUCCAAUGUUAAUACAAGGAUACUAGUUUUCACUGUUUCUAUUCAACUUGUGCUGGGGGGAGGGUCUGAAUUGGUACAGUAAGAAAAGUAAAAAAUAAAGCCAUCGCUAUGCAUAGAUGAUUGAUUAUUUACAAAGAAAAUUUAUGAGAGUCUACAAGUAAUUAAACUAACACACCCCUUUCUGGGGGGAAAGAUAUAUUCAAAAUCAGUAUGCCUAUCCCAUGGCAGUAAACAAAUAGAUUUUGUUUUAAGAAAACACCAUUUGUAAUAGCAACAGAAACUAUGAGAUAUUUAGGAAUAAAUAUAGCAAAAUAUGUGCAUGAUCUUUAUGGAGAAUAUAAGUCUCUGUUGGAGAACAUGAAAAGAAGGCAAAAAGAAAGGAGAGAUAUGCCACGCUCACGAAGAGGAAAAUUCAAUGGAAAGCUAAUAAUUUUUCUCAAAUCUCUAAAUUCAAUAGGGUUCUAAUCAAAACCCCAAAAAGUUAUUUUAUGGCACCUAAUAAGCUGUUCUUAAAAUUCUCGUGGAAGGGUAAAUGGCCAAAAAAAGUCAGAAUGAAUUUGAAGUGGAGGAAUAGUGGAGUUUCACUGUAUGCCAGUUUAUUCAAGCUAGAGUGAUGAAAGUAGGGCAGUCCUGGCACAUGGACCAAUAGACAGCUGGUAUGGACUAGAACUUCAUGAAAUCAGACCUUCAAAGAUGUGAGAACAUAGUGUAUGACGAAAGUAACUACAAAUCAGUGGAAAAGGAUGAACUCUUUCUUAACUUCUCUGGGGUUAAUUGGCUAUCCAUUUGAAGAUGAGGCAGGAGUUCCCAAUGUGGUACAGGGCUUAAGGACCUGGUGUUGUCUCUGUGGCCAUAAAGUUUGAUCCCUGGCAGUAGGUUAAGGACCCAGCAUUGCCACAGCUGUGGUGUAGGUCACAGCUGUGGCUCAGAUUUGAUCCCUGGCCUGGGAACUUCCAUAUACCACGAGUGGGGCUGAAAAAGAAAAGAGAAAAUGGGAGCUCCCGUUGUGGCUCAGUGGAAAAGCAGGUUGGAUCCUAGCCCUUGCUCAGUGGGUUGAGGAUCCAGUGUUGCUGAGCUGUGGUGUAGGUUGCAGAUGUGGCUAGGGUCUGGUGUGGUUGUGGCUGUGGCCAGUGGCUACAGGUCAGAUUUGACCCCUAGCCUGGGAACUGCGGGUGCAGCCCUAAAAAGC
Molecule: long non-coding RNA, 3433 nt
Filed under: Sus scrofa (pig)
Lineage: Eukaryota; Metazoa; Chordata; Mammalia; Artiodactyla; Suidae
Description: lncRNA (ENSSSCG00000053841.1)
Source: RNAcentral